UGGACCUACGGGGGGCAGCAGUGAGGAAUAUUGGUCAAUGGGCGGGAGCCUGAACCAGCCAAGUCGCGUGAAGGAAGAAGGUACUUAGUAUUGUAAACUUCUUUUGUCAAGGGACAAAAUCAGGCUCGAGAGCCUGACCGAGGGUACUUGAAGAAAAAGCAUCGGCUAACUCCGUGCCAGCAGCCGCGGUAAUACGGAGGAUGCGAGCGUUAUCCGGAUUUAUUGGGUUUAAAGGGUGCGUAGGCGGGCUGUUAAGUCAGCGGUAAAAGCCCGGGGCUCAACCCCGGCGAGCCGUUGAAACUGGC
This 305-nucleotide ribosomal RNA is filed under the name uncultured bacterium. RNAcentral describes it as "bacterial SSU rRNA". It matches the Rfam family "Bacterial small subunit ribosomal RNA", at positions 332 to 637 of the family's 1533-position model. The record is from RNAcentral.